GACAGAGGUCUCAAGCGUUGUUCGGAUUCAUGGGGCGUAAAGGGUGCGUAGGUGGCGCGGUAAGUCGGGUGUGAAAUUUCGGAGCUUAACUCCGAAACUGCAUUCGAUACUGCCGUGCUUGAGGACUGGAGAGGAGACUGGAAUUUACGGUGUAGCAGUGAAAUGCGUAGAGAUCGUAAGGAAGACCAGUGGCGAAGGCGGGUCUCUGGACAGUUCCUGACACUGAGGCACGAAGGCCAGGGGAGCAAACGGG
This 253-nucleotide ribosomal RNA is filed under the name uncultured bacterium. Its description in RNAcentral is "partial 16S ribosomal RNA". It matches the Rfam family "Bacterial small subunit ribosomal RNA", at positions 524 to 776 of the family's 1533-position model. The record is from RNAcentral.